This 495-nucleotide ribosomal RNA is filed under the name uncultured bacterium. RNAcentral's name for it is "partial 16S ribosomal RNA". It matches the Rfam family "Bacterial small subunit ribosomal RNA", at positions 28 to 507 of the family's 1533-position model. The record is from RNAcentral.
GAUGAACGCUGGCGGCGUGCCUAAUACAUGCAAGUAGAACGCUGAAGGAGGAGCUUGCUCUUCUGGAUGAGUUGCGAACGGGUGAGUAACGCGUAGGUAACCUGCCUGGUAGCGGGGGAUAACUAUUGGAAACGAUAGCUAAUACCGCAUGACAACAGUUAUUGCAUGAUAACUGUUUAAAAGGGGCAACUGCUCCACUACCAGAUGGACCUGCGUUGUAUUAGCUAGUUGGUGAGGUAACGGCUCACCAAGGCGACGAUACAUAGCCGACCUGAGAGGGUGAUCGGCCACACUGGGACGGAGACACGGCCCAGACUCCUACGGGAGGCAGCAGUAGGGAAUCUUCGGCAAUGGACGGAAGUCUGACCGAGAAACGCCGCGUGAGUGAAGAAGGUUUUCGGAUCGUAAAGCUCUGUUGUAAGAGAAGAACGAGUGUGAGAGUGGAAAGUUCACACUGUGACGGUAUCUGACCAGAAAGGGACGGCUAACUACGUG